AGAAGCAGCCAUCAUUUAAAGAAAGCGUAAUAGCUCACUGGUCGAGUCGGCCUGCGCGGAAGAUGUAACGGGGCUAAACCAUGCACCGAAGCUGCGGCAGCGACGCUGAUGCGUUGUUGGGUAGGGGAGCGUUCUGUAAGCCUGCGAAGGUGUGCUGUGAGGCAUGCUGGAGGUAUCAGAAGUGCGAAUGCUGACAUAAGUAACGAUAAAGCGGGUGAAAAGCCCGCUCGCCGGAAGACCAAGGGUUCCUGUCCAACGUUAAUCGGGGCAGGGUGAGUCGACCCCUAAGGCGAGGCCGAAAGGCGUAGUCGAUGGGAAACAGGUUAAUAUUCCUGUACUUGGUGUUACUGCGAAGGGGGGACGGAGAAGGCUAUGUUGGCCGGGCGACGGUUGUCCCGGUUUAAGCGUGUAGGCUGGUUUUCCAGGCAAAUCCGGAAAAUCAAGGCUGAGGCGUGAUGACGAGGCACUACGGUGCUGAAGCAACAAAUGCCCUGCUUCCAGGAAAAGCCUCUAAGCAUCAGGUAACAUCAAAUCGUACCCCAAACCGACACAGGUGGUCAGGUAGAGAAUACCAAGGCGCUUGAGAGAACUCGGGUGAAGGAACUAGGCAAAAUGGUGCCGUAACUUCGGGAGAAGGCACGCUGAUAUGUAGGUGAAG
This 658-nucleotide ribosomal RNA is filed under the name Escherichia coli. Its description in RNAcentral is "bacterial LSU rRNA". It matches the Rfam family "Bacterial large subunit ribosomal RNA", at positions 1108 to 1767 of the family's 2925-position model. The record is from RNAcentral. Lineage: Bacteria; Pseudomonadati; Pseudomonadota; Gammaproteobacteria; Enterobacterales; Enterobacteriaceae.